This 82-nucleotide transfer RNA is filed under the name Podarcis lilfordi (Lilford's wall lizard). RNAcentral describes it as "tRNA.Ile". The stretch from base 10 to 68 matches the Rfam family "tRNA", at positions 8 to 63 of the family's 71-position model. From Rfam's summary of the family: Transfer RNA (tRNA) molecules are approximately 80 nucleotides in length. Their secondary structure includes four short double-helical elements and three loops (D, anti-codon, and T loops). Further hydrogen bonds mediate the characteristic L-shaped molecular structure. tRNAs have two regions of fundamental functional importance: the anti-codon, which is responsible for specific mRNA codon recognition, and the 3' end, to which the tRNAs corresponding amino acid is attached (by aminoacyl-tRNA synthetases). tRNAs cope with the degeneracy of the genetic code in two manners: having more than one tRNA (with a specific anti-codon) for a particular amino acid; and 'wobble' base-pairing, i.e. permitting non-standard base-pairing at the 3rd anti-codon position. The record is from RNAcentral. Lineage: Eukaryota; Metazoa; Chordata; Lepidosauria; Squamata; Lacertidae.
ACAACUGGAUAGCUCAGUUGGUUAGAGCAUGGUGCUGAUAAUGCCAAGGUUGCAGGUUCGAUCCAUGCAUGGGACAGCUGCA